Molecule: unclassified non-coding RNA, 979 nt
Filed under: Hevea brasiliensis (rubber tree)
Lineage: Eukaryota; Viridiplantae; Streptophyta; Magnoliopsida; Malpighiales; Euphorbiaceae
Source: RNAcentral
AGGCUUAGUUGAGUUGAGUUAAGUGCAUCAAAAUGGAGCAGUCUAAAUGUAGACCACAAGGCAUAUUUCUUUGUUAAUGAAUUCCCUAGUUAUCCCCCAUAUAGACAACAUCCAACCAUCAACAAGCAUUUUGUCACUUUACAAUAUGUUAGAGCCCAGUCGUAAGAAAUAUCAAACACAAGCAGAGAAUAGGAAGGUAAAAGCAUUUUCCAGAAGCCAGGGUCCAAUAAUUGGAGCAUCACACAGGCAGAUAUGAGACAUGUUCAAGUGAUGUGGAAAGAAAGGAGACAGAACAUUAAUAUGAGAAUUACAAUCUUUGUAUGAUAGGAUAUGGCAUCAUUCACUGCUUUAUUAUUCUUUCCAGCAAUAACAAAGCAGAAAGUACAAAAUUAUAUGCAUGCAGAUUCUAGAACGACUCCAUCAAAUGAAAAUAAUAAUUUGCUACAUCUAGACAGAAAUAGAACAGAAAAUCAAAAGCAUUUGGAAAAGUCUUAAAAGAAAAAAUAAAUAAACAUACAAUUUCAGAUAAACAUGAAAAUCCUACAAUUAAAAUUAAAUAGAUUACUAAAUGAAUUCGCCUCCCUUUAAUAAGAGGAAAAGUUUAUUCCCUCGCACAAGUUAGACUUAGAAUUGCUUCCCUAACAAAUUAAAGAAACUGUAAUUAGGUGCCCUAAUAAGUAACUGGGGGACAAUAAAAACAUCAUGAAAAACAAAGAUUCCACCGGAAGAAAAUUACUAAGAUAAACAAUAUUACAAAUGUGCUACAAAUAUUUAAAAAAAAUCAAACAUCUACGAUUUACUAUCUAGUGUAGCAAGUGGUAAUUGAUUAUAGAGCAAAGAUGGAUCAUCUGCCAACAAUUAAGACAUCAACAUUGAGAAAUUGCUUACUGAGAAGGGAACUCACAUAAGCAAGCAGGCACCAAUAAGUAACAGUGAAAUAGUACGAGGCUUGUAUGCCCAUGCAGUCCAUGGAUCUACA